Vigna radiata var. radiata (mung bean) is the source of this 960-nucleotide long non-coding RNA. RefSeq lists it as uncharacterized. The record is from RefSeq and is a predicted model, not a curated record. The transcript is spliced from 7 exons. Lineage: Eukaryota; Viridiplantae; Streptophyta; Magnoliopsida; Fabales; Fabaceae.
UGGAAGUUUUCAUUAUGGCGCUCCCUCAAACCCUGGUAGACUCGCUUGAAGAUUUCUAUGUCCCUCAGACUCUUGCUUCUUCCUUCUUCGUAAUAAAGAAAUUGUUGCCGAUUCAUUGAAGACCCUUGUCGACAAACGAUGUGAAAACCCUAACGCAAGUCAACAGCUCGUGCCUUAACCGCUCAGAACUCCACAGCUCACGCCUCCACCACUUGCGCAUCCAUUGUCGAGCUGAGUGUAGGUUGACCGACUUUUGAAAGCUUGCACCAUUGUUGUUGUGUGAUGAAGGAUUCGUUCGACAACCACCAUUGCAUCUUCUCACCUCAACGAGGGUUACGAAGGUAAGGAAAAAUCUUUUGGGCGUAUAUCAAUCUGUUUUGGAUAAACGAAGAAAUGAAAGGAGGGAAAAAUUACCCUGUAAAAGGGCCAAAGAUAUGAUGGUGAAGAUGUUGAAGAUCAAAAUGGAAGAAAAUUAGACAUACAAUAAAACUUCCUCAAUACUAUAGUGGAUUCUUAAUUAACUGCAGGUCAUUUUUAAGCAGGAAAGGUCUCCUAAGAGCUUGACAUGUUGAAUCAGUUUCAUCUUCACUGUUGCUUUUCCUGCACAAGUUUUUAAUAGGGGAAUAGGACAAAAGCCUCUAUGGAUUAUAUUUUAUAGGUGGGAGAGUUUGCAGAACAUACUUCUAGUCGAGUAUAAGUAGCUGAAUUUGUCACUGCGUUUCAGUUUUAUAAAUGUUCAGCUUCUAAGGUAAUGUUGAUCUGUCUCAUUUGUAUCAAAACAUAGAUAAGACUGGACAAGGAACAAGCUCUAAGCACAAGAGAUAUCCUAGAUAGGACAAAGAAAUGGAAAUUUGCUGUUGAGGAAGAAAAGUGGUUAGAUGAAUACGAAAGGGUAAACAACUUAUUUUAAAAGUUUUUGUUUAUAAAUAAACAAUAACUUAAUGGCGAUGAACUUGUGCA